Molecule: ribosomal RNA, 2902 nt
Filed under: Escherichia coli KTE40
Lineage: Bacteria; Pseudomonadati; Pseudomonadota; Gammaproteobacteria; Enterobacterales; Enterobacteriaceae
Description: bacterial LSU rRNA
Rfam family: Bacterial large subunit ribosomal RNA
Source: RNAcentral
UUAAGCGACUAAGCGUACACGGUGGAUGCCCUGGCAGUCAGAGGCGAUGAAGGACGUGCUAAUCUGCGAUAAGCGUCGGUAAGGUGAUAUGAACCGUUAUAACCGGCGAUUUCCGAAUGGGGAAACCCAGUGUGUUUCGACACACUAUCAUUAACUGAAUCCAUAGGUUAAUGAGGCGAACCGGGGGAACUGAAACAUCUAAGUACCCCGAGGAAAAGAAAUCAACCGAGAUUCCCCCAGUAGCGGCGAGCGAACGGGGAGCAGCCCAGAGCCUGAAUCAGUGUGUGUGUUAGUGGAAGCGUCUGGAAAGGCGCGCGAUACAGGGUGACAGCCCCGUACACAAAAAUGCACAUGCUGUGAGCUCGAUGAGUAGGGCGGGACACGUGGUAUCCUGUCUGAAUAUGGGGGGACCAUCCUCCAAGGCUAAAUACUCCUGACUGACCGAUAGUGAACCAGUACCGUGAGGGAAAGGCGAAAAGAACCCCGGCGAGGGGAGUGAAAAAGAACCUGAAACCGUGUACGUACAAGCAGUGGGAGCCCGCUUAGGCGUGUGACUGCGUACCUUUUGUAUAAUGGGUCAGCGACUUAUAUUCUGUAGCAAGGUUAACCGAAUAGGGGAGCCGAAGGGAAACCGAGUCUUAACUGGGCGUUAAGUUGCAGGGUAUAGACCCGAAACCCGGUGAUCUAGCCAUGGGCAGGUUGAAGGUUGGGUAACACUAACUGGAGGACCGAACCGACUAAUGUUGAAAAAUUAGCGGAUGACUUGUGGCUGGGGGUGAAAGGCCAAUCAAACCGGGAGAUAGCUGGUUCUCCCCGAAAGCUAUUUAGGUAGCGCCUCGUGAAUUCAUCUCCGGGGGUAGAGCACUGUUUCGGCAAGGGGGUCAUCCCGACUUACCAACCCGAUGCAAACUGCGAAUACCGGAGAAUGUUAUCACGGGAGACACACGGCGGGUGCUAACGUCCGUCGUGAAGAGGGAAACAACCCAGACCGCCAGCUAAGGUCCCAAAGUCAUGGUUAAGUGGGAAACGAUGUGGGAAGGCCCAGACAGCCAGGAUGUUGGCUUAGAAGCAGCCAUCAUUUAAAGAAAGCGUAAUAGCUCACUGGUCGAGUCGGCCUGCGCGGAAGAUGUAACGGGGCUAAACCAUGCACCGAAGCUGCGGCAGCGACGCUGAUGCGUUGUUGGGUAGGGGAGCGUUCUGUAAGCCUGCGAAGGUGUGCUGUGAGGCAUGCUGGAGGUAUCAGAAGUGCGAAUGCUGACAUAAGUAACGAUAAAGCGGGUGAAAAGCCCGCUCGCCGGAAGACCAAGGGUUCCUGUCCAACGUUAAUCGGGGCAGGGUGAGUCGACCCCUAAGGCGAGGCCGAAAGGCGUAGUCGAUGGGAAACAGGUUAAUAUUCCUGUACUUGGUGUUACUGCGAAGGGGGGACGGAGAAGGCUAUGUUGGCCGGGCGACGGUUGUCCCGGUUUAAGCGUGUAGGCUGGUUUUCCAGGCAAAUCCGGAAAAUCAAGGCUGAGGCGUGAUGACGAGGCACUACGGUGCUGAAGCAACAAAUGCCCUGCUUCCAGGAAAAGCCUCUAAGCAUCAGGUAACAUCAAAUCGUACCCCAAACCGACACAGGUGGUCAGGUAGAGAAUACCAAGGCGCUUGAGAGAACUCGGGUGAAGGAACUAGGCAAAAUGGUGCCGUAACUUCGGGAGAAGGCACGCUGAUAUGUAGGUGAGGUCCCUCGCGGAUGGAGCUGAAAUCAGUCGAAGAUACCAGCUGGCUGCAACUGUUUAUUAAAAACACAGCACUGUGCAAACACGAAAGUGGACGUAUACGGUGUGACGCCUGCCCGGUGCCGGAAGGUUAAUUGAUGGGGUCAGCGCAAGCGAAGCUCUUGAUCGAAGCCCCGGUAAACGGCGGCCGUAACUAUAACGGUCCUAAGGUAGCGAAAUUCCUUGUCGGGUAAGUUCCGACCUGCACGAAUGGCGUAAUGAUGGCCAGGCUGUCUCCACCCGAGACUCAGUGAAAUUGAACUCGCUGUGAAGAUGCAGUGUACCCGCGGCAAGACGGAAAGACCCCGUGAACCUUUACUAUAGCUUGACACUGAACAUUGAGCCUUGAUGUGUAGGAUAGGUGGGAGGCUUUGAAGUGUGGACGCCAGUCUGCAUGGAGCCGACCUUGAAAUACCACCCUUUAAUGUUUGAUGUUCUAACGUUGACCCGUAAUCCGGGUUGCGGACAGUGUCUGGUGGGUAGUUUGACUGGGGCGGUCUCCUCCUAAAGAGUAACGGAGGAGCACGAAGGUUGGCUAAUCCUGGUCGGACAUCAGGAGGUUAGUGCAAUGGCAUAAGCCAGCUUGACUGCGAGCGUGACGGCGCGAGCAGGUGCGAAAGCAGGUCAUAGUGAUCCGGUGGUUCUGAAUGGAAGGGCCAUCGCUCAACGGAUAAAAGGUACUCCGGGGAUAACAGGCUGAUACCGCCCAAGAGUUCAUAUCGACGGCGGUGUUUGGCACCUCGAUGUCGGCUCAUCACAUCCUGGGGCUGAAGUAGGUCCCAAGGGUAUGGCUGUUCGCCAUUUAAAGUGGUACGCGAGCUGGGUUUAGAACGUCGUGAGACAGUUCGGUCCCUAUCUGCCGUGGGCGCUGGAGAACUGAGGGGGGCUGCUCCUAGUACGAGAGGACCGGAGUGGACGCAUCACUGGUGUUCGGGUUGUCAUGCCAAUGGCACUGCCCGGUAGCUAAAUGCGGAAGAGAUAAGUGCUGAAAGCAUCUAAGCACGAAACUUGCCCCGAGAUGAGUUCUCCCUGACCCUUUAAGGGUCCUGAAGGAACGUUGAAGACGACGACGUUGAUAGGCCGGGUGUGUAAGCGCAGCGAUGCGUUGAGCUAACCGGUACUAAUGAACCGUGAGGCUUAACCUU